Molecule: ribosomal RNA, 489 nt
Filed under: uncultured bacterium
Lineage: Bacteria
Description: partial 16S ribosomal RNA
Rfam family: Bacterial small subunit ribosomal RNA
Source: RNAcentral
AUUGAACGCUGGCGGCAGGCCUAACACAUGCAAGUCGAACGGUAACAGGAAACAGCUUGCUGUUUCGCUGACGAGUGGCGGACGGGUGAGUAAUGUCUGGGAAACUGCCUGAUGGAGGGGGAUAACUACUGGAAACGGUAGCUAAUACCGCAUAACGUCGCAAGACCAAAGAGGGGGACCUUCGGGCCUCUUGCCAUCGGAUGUGCCCAGAUGGGAUUAGCUAGUAGGUGGGGUAACGGCUCACCUAGGCGACGAUCCCUAGCUGGUCUGAGAGGAUGACCAGCCACACUGGAACUGAGACACGGUCCAGACUCCUACGGGAGGCAGCAGUGGGGAAUAUUGCACAAUGGGCGCAAGCCUGAUGCAGCCAUGCCGCGUGUAUGAAGAAGGCCUUCGGGUUGUAAAGUACUUUCAGCGGGGAGGAAGGGAGUAAAGUUAAUACCUUUGCUCAUUGACGUGACCCGCAGAAGAAGCACCGGCUAACUCCGU